RNAcentral lists this ribosomal RNA (576 nucleotides) under Triticum aestivum (bread wheat). RNAcentral describes it as "partial small subunit ribosomal RNA". Lineage: Eukaryota; Viridiplantae; Streptophyta; Magnoliopsida; Poales; Poaceae. The record is from RNAcentral.
AUGAAUGUUUUGGCCUGGAACUGUCGAGGACUGGGGUUGGACUCGACGGUAGGCGAACUGAGAGACCUGGUACGGUCUUACAACCCAGCGGUGGUGUUCUUAUCAGAGACAAAGAAGAGUGCAAACGCGAUGGGAAGACUCAUAUGGAGCCUUGGAUUUUCGCAAGGUGUGGCGGUGAGCUGUGCGGGUAAGAGUGGAGGUUUGGCGCUGUGGUGGAGAGAUCAUGUGAAGGUGAUAGUUAGACCUUGGUGUCAAUACUACAUAGACUGUCAAAUGGAGAUGGAUGGGCGGAUCUAUAGGUUCACUGGAAUCUAUGGGGAGCCAUGCGUGGAAAUGAGGAAUAAAACUUGGGAAGCUUUGAGGUAUUUGAGGAAACAAGAUGAUCUUCCGUGGAUAUGUGUGGGAGACUAUAACGAGGCAAUGGUGCAGAAAGAACAAAUUGGAGGCAAGGCUAGAUGCAUCCGACAGAUGGAUGAGUUUAGAGACUGUUUAGCUGAUUGUGGACUUGCGGAUAUUGGAUUCUCGGGGUACCCAUUCACAUGGGAUAACAAGAGGGAAGGAGGGGAAAAUAUAUAG